RNAcentral lists this non-coding RNA (75 nucleotides) under Aminobacter niigataensis. RNAcentral's name for it is "Glycine". It matches the Rfam family "Glycine riboswitch aptamer". Rfam says of the family: This family represents the bacterial glycine riboswitch. Glycine riboswitches usually consist of two metabolite-binding aptamers domains with similar structures in tandem. Lineage: Bacteria; Pseudomonadati; Pseudomonadota; Alphaproteobacteria; Hyphomicrobiales; Phyllobacteriaceae. The record is from RNAcentral.
AGCUUCUGGAGAGAGGCGCGCCAUAGCGUCCGCCGUCGGGAUAACGCUCUCAGGCAAACAUACAGAAGGGGCGCA